This 7750-nucleotide long non-coding RNA is filed under the name Setaria viridis. RNAcentral describes it as "long non-coding RNA (SVIR_LNC001732)". Lineage: Eukaryota; Viridiplantae; Streptophyta; Magnoliopsida; Poales; Poaceae. The record is from RNAcentral.
AAACAUAGUCAUCAACUAAUACAUGUGCUAGUCUAAUAUUCAUGUGUGUCCUCACAUGAACUCCGACUAGGGACAACUUUAGAAUAACCAUACAAGUAAAGAGUUUCACAUACAAUUCACAUAAUUGCAAAUCAAUUCAAGUAGCCUUGAAUGGAUAUUCAAUGAACACAAUAUACAAAUCAUGGAUACAAAUGGAAUAUCAUCAUCUCUAUGAUUGCCUCUAGGGCAUACCUCCAACAGUCUCCCACUUGCACUAGAGUCAAUCUAGAAGGUACCUAAUACCCAUAGCUCUUACAUGCGCAUCAUGCUUAGCCUGCAGGAGUGGUUUUGUCAACGGAUCAGAAAUGUUCAGAUCCGUGUGUAUUUUGCAUAUCUUGAUCUCACCCCGGUUAACGAAGUCUCGAAUGAGAUGAAAUCGCCGCAUUACGUGUUUGUUCUUCUGGUGGUUCCUUGGUUCCUUUGCUUGCGCAAUUGCCCCAUUGUUAUCACAGUAGAGAUUCAAUGGGCUGGACGCAUUCGGGAACACACCAAGCUCAAUGAGGAAAUUCCUUAUCCAAACACCUUCCUUCGCGGCUUCCGAAGCCGCGAUGUACUCGGCUUCUGUCGUAGAAUCGGCCACCGUCUCCUGCUUGGAACUCUUCCAACUAACAGCACCACCAUUCAGUGUGAACACAAAUCCUGAUUGUGACUUUGAAUCAUCUCUGUCGGUUUGGAAACUAGCAUCGGUGUAACCUGUUACAACGAGCUCCUCCUCACCUCCAUAGACGAGGAACAUAUCUUUAGUCCUUCUCAAGUACUUAAGAAUGUUUUUCACCGCUGUCCAGUGAUUCUCACCUGGAUCAGAUUGGUGUCUGCUUGUCAUACUUAGCGCAUAUGAAACAUCUGGGCGAGUACUUAUCAUUGCAUACAUGAUAGAUCCAAUAGCCGAGGCAUAUGGCACUCUACUCAUGCGAUCCUGCUCAUCAGCAGUCGUAGGACACUGAGUCUUGCUGAGAUGUAUGCCAUGUGACAUAGGCAAGAACCCUUUCUUUGCCUCUUCCAUGCUGAACCGCUUCAACACUUUGUCAAUGUAAGUGUCUUGGCUUAAACCUAUAAGCCUUCUCGAUCUAUCUCUAUAGAUCUUAAUGCCCAGAAUAUAUGCCGCUUCUCCUAAGUCCUUCAUCGAAAAACUAUUUUUCAGUGAAGUCUUUACGAACUCAAGCAUAGGAAUGUUAUUUCCAAUCAGUAAUAUGUCAUCCACAUAUAAGAUUAGAAAUACUACAGAGCUCCCACUAACCUUCUUGUAAACACAAGACUCUUCUUCGUUCUUGGUGAAGUCAAACCCUUUGACCACUUCAUCAAAACGAAUGUUCCAACUCCUAGAUGCUUGCUUCAAUCCAUAAAUGGAUCUCUGAAGCUUGCAUACCUUUCCAGCAUUUUUAGGAUCGACAAAACCCUCGGGCUGUAUCAUAUACACGUCCUCAGCUAGGUUUCCAUUCAGGAAAGCUGUCUUGACAUCCAUCUGCCAUAUCUCAUAAUCGAAAUAUGCAGCUAUAGCUAGAAUAAUCCGAAUGGACUUAAGCAUCACUACGGGCGAGAAGGUCUCGUCGUAGUCAACUCCUUGAACUUGUCGAAAACCUUUUGCGACAAGUCUUAUAGAUGUGAACAUUUCCAUCCAUGUCCUUUUUCUUCUUAUAGAUCCACUUGCACUCUAUGGCUUUAACACCAUCAGGCGGGUCAACCAAGUUCCAAACUUGAUUGUCUCCCAUGGACUCUAUUUCGGAUUGCAUGGCACUCUGCCAUUUUUCGGAGUCUGGGUCCAUCAUUGCUUCUGCAUAUGUCGCAGGCUCAUCAUUGUCCAACAAUAAUAUUUCCCGCAUUUCGCGGAGCCUUGCUGACCUUCGUGGUUGUGGCGGUGCUUCUCUUGCCAUGGGUAUCUCAACUUGUUCUGCUACGUUAGCAUCACUCAUUGAUUCUUGCCCGAUCGGCUCAUCUUGAACUUCUUCAAGAUGCACUGUCUUUCCACUCUUUUCUCCUUUGAGAAACUCUUUCUCUAGGAAAACCCCGUUACGAGCGACAAACACUUUGCCUUCUGAUCGGUUGUAGAAAUAAUAUCCCAAAGUUUCCUUUGGAUAUCCCACGAAAAUGCACUUAUCCGACUUGGGUCUGAUCUUGUCCGACUGAAGUCGCUUGACAAACACUUCACAUCCCCAAAUCUUUAGAAAAGAAAAACUAGGAACCUUUCCAGUCCAUAUCUCAUAUGGUGUCUUAACUACGGAUUUAGAUGGUACCCUAUUAAGUGUGAAAGCUGUUGUUUCGAGAGCGUAUCCCCAAAAUGACAACGGUAGGUCCGACUGGCUCAUCAUUGAUCGAACCAUGUCUAACAAAGUUCGAUUACGUCACUCGGACACACCGUUUCUCUGAGGUGUUCCAGGCGGCGUAAGUUGUGGAACAAUUCCGCAACUCUUUAGAUGAUUGCUAAACUCGUGGCUCAAAUACUCGCCUCCACGAUCAGAUCGUAAUGCCUUGAUUUUCUUGCCCCGCUGAUUUUCAACUUCAUUCUGAAAUUCCUUGAACUUUUCAAAGGUUUCAGACUUGUGCCUCAUCAAGUAGACAUAGCCAUAUCUACUAAAAUCAUCAGUGAAAGUUAUGAAGUAUUGGAAUCCUCCUCUAGCCGUCGUGCUCAUUGGUCCGCAUACAUCACUAUGUACGAGUUCCAAGAAGUCUACUGCUCUCUCAGGAAAUCCUGUGAAAGGCGUCUUGGUCAUCUUGCCUAGCAAGCAAGCCUCACAUGUCUCGUAUGAUUCAAAAUCAAACGAAGUUAGAAGUCCAUCAGAAUGGAGCUUCUUCAUGUGUUUUUCACUUAUAUGACCCAAACGACAAUGCCACAAGUAGGUAGGACUCAAAUCAUUAGGCUGAGGCCUUUUAGCACUUACAUUACAGACAAGUGAACCAUCAAGAUUUAAAACAAAUAAUCAAUUCACAAUGGGUGCAAAAGCCAUAAACAUAUUAUUCUUAGAGAUCAAACAACCAUUGUUUUCACUCGCAAAUGAAUAACCAUCCUUCAUCAAGCAUGAAGGAGACAAAAUGUUUCGACUUAAACUAGGAACGAAAUAACAAUUAUUCAACUCCAUAAUAAAUCCUGACGGGAGGUGGAGUUGCAUCGUCCCAACGGUCAACGCAGCAACUCUUGCAUUAUUGCCCACGCGGAAAUCAACUUCUCCUCUUUCCACGCUUCUACUUCUUAUCAUUCCCUGCAUCGAAUUGCAAAUAUGAGCAACCGAUCUGGUAUCAAAUACCCAAGAAUUAAUAAUUGUAUCAGCGAGAAAUAUGUUGUCUAUAACAUUAACAACAAGCGUACCUGAGGUAGAAGUACUCUUACUUCCGCCAUUCUUCAACGAAGCUAGGUACUGCUUGUAGUUUCUCUUCCAGUGACCAAGUUCAUGACAGUAAAAGCACUCUUUGUCUGGAGCAGGUCCAGGUCCAGCUUUAACCUUGGGCGCUGGGUUUGGCUUGGACGUUCCAGCCUUGCCCUUCUUCUUCCAAGAAUUGCCCUUCUUCUUAAAGCUAGGCUUGUUCUGUAUAGCCAUCACAUGGUUGGUACUAGCGCUUUUCUUGAUGUCAGCCUCUGCUGUUUUAAGCAUGCCACACAGCUCAUUCAGACCCUUCUCCGUCCCAUGCAUAUGGUAGUUCGAGAUGAAGUUCCCAUAGCUAGGCGGAAGAUACGAAAGAAUGAAAUCAGUGGCCAACUCUUGGCCCAGUGGGAAGCCUAGCUUCUCCAACCGUUGAGUGUAACCAACCAUCUUGAUUACGUGUGGUCCUACUGCUGCGCCUUCUGCUAGCUUGCUCUCAACAAAGGCCUUAGACACAUUGAACCUUUCAGUCCUAGCCUGUGUUUGGAACAUGUCUCUAAGUGCCACGAUCAUAUCGUGCGCCUCAUGGUUUGUUUCGAACUGCAUCUGCAGCUCGGUUCCAUGCAAGCAAGCAUAAGGCAGCUUACUUCAAGGUUAGCAUCACAUGCUUUCUUGUAAGCAUUCUUAGCAGCAGCGGGUGCAUCAUCAGCAGGUUCUUCUAGUAGUGGGUUGUCUAGAACAUCUUCCUUUUUCUCAGCCCUGAGAACAAUUCUCAGGUUACGGAUCCAAUCCGAGUAAUUUGUUCCAUUCAACUUGUCCUUCUUAAGGACCGAACGCAAAGCAAACGGUGUAGUGCUGCUAGGUGCCAUUUAAUCUACAACAAAGUAAUGCAAAAUACACUAAGACAAACGUAUCCAUGAUAGAGCAAAUCACAUUAAACUAUUUUAACAGAAUCUACUCCCACUAAAAUCAAUAUCCCUCUAUUGAAACUUAGUGAUUCAGGAUCCACAACUAACAAGUCCACUAGUGAGCUUUAGCAUCACCGCUAGCAAACAAGGUAGAUCGGUAAGCAACUUUUGCUAAUCAUAUCACAUAUGACUCCUGUUGUUGGGUGACAUCUCUAUGUCUCGGCGCCCAACCUUUAUGCCCCAAGGUCCUUAACCGUUAAGAUAACCUUGUUUAAGCAAACCAACCCUUAUGCGCGUAAGUGUCCGACACAAACCCGUCUAGUCAAGGAAAACUAGUGGCACCCUAAUUUCAUAGACCCACCACUAAUUGUACAAGACAUGGGACGGUGCAAGUUUUAGUUGGGAGGGCAUACUAACUUAAACUUUGUGAGGGAUCGUUCUACUUAUAACAUCACGGCAUGCAGAAAGUAAAACAUAAACAGAAUAGCAUUCACACAGUUGUAACACAGUAUGGCCCGUUUUCAUAUGGUGAUCUCCAUCUCCAUAGAACCUGUUCACCAUGGUGAUCUCCAUCUCCAUGUUCCAUGUGCGCCAUCCUCCUGGUGAUGAGUCCUCCAAGAACUAUAACAUGCUAUUACGCCUAAUAGCUAGUAAAGAAGCUAGUAAUGAAGAUUACAUAGUUGCUUGGAUCAUCACAGAUUGGUACGCAGACCAUUAAGUACAUUAAGGUGACAACACAUAUGGCUCCUGCCGUGUUGCCGUACGCGCGACACGCAGGUCACGAAUGAGUUACACACAUGCAUCACAUACACAAGGGGGCCAUACUGAUCACAAGAUACAUACAUCCUGCAAAACAGAGUUAAGCGUCCUAACGUUCCAAACUUCGGAGUCUUGAAACUCCAUCUUCCAAGUCGAAUUUGCGAAAUCUAAUUUCGCCAAAAAUGGCAAAGCCAUUGAAUUUCAUGUCUAACUUUUUCUGUAGAUCAAUUUUCAUAUAAAAUUUGCCCCAAUCCAAGAUCGUACUGAAAAGUUACGGCUGAUUUACCGAAGCAUAUGCAUAUGGCAAAAAUCCCGACCCCGGCAGUAGAUCUCAUCUACUAUUGCACAUCUAAUGCGCCUGGCGUAUGACCCUGGAUUUCGAUUCGACCAAUCAUAUUGAUCUUCGCUCACUGCAACUGGAUUUACGUGUAUCACUUAACUCCGAUGGCGGAAACCGACUGGUAGGAGUAUGUCGUUACACUACCAUUGCAGCAAGGGCACGAAACCAGGACAUAGAUCAAACUGAAAACUCGCAUAUCUCCAUAUGCACACAUCCCGAAUCCAAAACUAAGCAGCUACGGCUCUGAUACCACUGUUGGGAUACGAGGUAGGCUACACUAGCGCAAUUCAAAAAAUCUACCGCGUAUAACCAGGAAGAACUGUCGUAUAAGGAUCACGGGAUUACCACUCGAUGCACUACUGGUGCGGAAGAUGUAGAUAUGCGUCGAUGCAGUGAAGACGAUCACGUAGUCGUACGUAGUCAAUCAACAUAGUCGAUCACGUCACGUCCAUCAGCUCCUCAGCAGCUCGUCCACGUGCAGCAAGAUCGCCUCCGGUGCCGCGGCUCGUCGUCGGCUCGUCGUGGCUCGUCGGCGGCUCGUCCAAGUGCUGCAGGCGCAACACCUCCAAGGUAUCCACACGUGCAGGGAGGAAGCGUCGCAAGCCGGACUGCUAGAUCCACGAGUUGCAACAGGCGAGGGCGUUGGAGGCGCGGCAGGUGUGUUUCGCCAAAAAGGUGUGAACCCUAGGGCGCCCCCACCCCUCUAUUUAUAGAGGUUCCUGACGGGCCUCUGGGUCCGAGGCCCAUUAGUACUUCUAAACCUAAUCCAACUUGGAUCAGAUCCGAAUUGGGCUUCCAGCCCCUUAAGUGUGUGACCCUAUGGGUUCGGAUACGUAUAGACAUGGCCUGAGUACUCCUACUCGGCCCAAUAGUCGGUAGCGGUUUCUAGCAAGACGUGCCAACUCCUAUACGCACACGAAGAUCAUAUCAGACGAACCAUCACAACAUAAUAUACAUGCUAUUCCCUUUGCCUCACGAUAUUUGGUCUAGCUUCAAGCCGACCGCUCUUUCUCGAUCCUGUGAUUCGGAAUCCCUUUGUAGGUUAACUCUUAACCGUACGUAGCAUGGCCAUGCAUUUUCGGAUCCGAUCACUCGAGGGGCCCAGAGAUAUCACUCUCAAUCAGAGAGGGGCAAAUCCCAUCUUGAUUGACCAUGUCUCAUAGCAUGCUUCUUGACAAACCCGAAAGCUACCUUUAUAACUACCCUGUUACGGCGUAGCGUUUGAUAGCCCCUAAGUAGGUCGAUCCACAUCUAGAAUACAUGCGACAAUCUCAGGUCUAAGGACAAAGCGUAUAUGUUGUUUAAAGAGAGAACUACUUCUCGUGUUGGGUCAGUCCUAGCACAUGUCUCCACAUGUGUCCACAUUAUUAGUUCAACAUCUCCAUGUCCAUGACUUGUGAAACAUAGUCAUCAACUAAUACAUGUGCUAGUCUAAUAUUCAUGUGUGUCCUCACAUGAACUCCGACUAGGGACAACUUUAGAAUAACCAUACAAGUAAAGAGUUUCACAUACAAUUCACAUAAUUGCAAAUCAAUUCAAGUAGCCUUGAAUGGAUAUUCAAUGAACACAAUAUACAAAUCAUGGAUACAAAUGGAAUAUCAUCAUCUCUAUGAUUGCCUCUAGGGCAUACCUCCAACACCCUUUGCCCUAGGGCGCAGCCCGCUGCUCUUCCCCCGCCGCCUCACGGCACUCCCCUGCCGCCGCCGCCCUGGGCCGUGCGCCAGCCAAGCGCUACUUCCCGUGCUUGUGUUCUGUUCUAUGUGCGUGAAGGGUGUGUUAGGGGAGAAGAAGAAAAAGUGAUAGGGGGUUAUGAGGAAAUUUUAGGGACCUAUAUGCAGGAAUCAAAAGAUUUGAGGGUGGUUUUGAAAGAUGCUCUCGGUUUUGUUUUAUUUCCUAGAUUUAAAUAGCUGCAAACUUAGAAAAUGCAUAGAAAUGGGUAGAAAAAUGCUAAAAAUGUGAAUUUUGUUCUGUUGAGUUCCUAAUGACAUCUAUUUUAUUUAAAAAAUGUUUUUGUCUGUGUUACUAUUUUGUGUUUGGUGCUAUGAUUUAUUUGGUCUAAAGGACAUUAAAUGCUUUAUAAACAAUAUGGUGGUCCAAAAUUUGUGAAACCAAUUUUGAUCGCUUCCAUUUAACAUGUAUGUUCUAGAUCUGCAACUUGUGUAUGUAGAAUCUAUGGUGUUAAUACUGUUUCAAAUCCAAAUGCUUAAUUGCUCUCUUAAUAUUGUUAUUUGCAUGAUAAUUAGUGAAAAAUUGAUAAAAAUGCAAAAUAAGUUUGGUUAGAUUCUUGAUACUCGUGCGUGACUAGUAAAAAUAUUUAUCCUUGUGAAAUAUGUAUUUUUAGUUGCUUAACAAAAUGCAUGUUGUUUAAUCUCCUUAUUGUGGAAUAAAUAGUUCUCAUGCUCCUAAAAUCC